Molecule: ribosomal RNA, 254 nt
Filed under: uncultured Acidobacteriota bacterium
Lineage: Bacteria; Pseudomonadati; Acidobacteriota
Description: uncultured Acidobacteria bacterium partial 16S ribosomal RNA
Rfam family: Bacterial small subunit ribosomal RNA
Source: RNAcentral
UACGUAGGCAGCGAGCGUUGUUCGGAGUUACUGGGCGUAAAGGGUGUGUAGGCGGUUCUCUAAGUUUGGCGUGAAAUCUCCCGGCUCAACUGGGAGGGUGCGCCGAAAACUGGGGGGCUUCGAGUGCGGGAUGGGAGAGUGGAAUUCCUGGUGUAGCGGUGAAAUGCGUAGAUAUCAGAAGGAACACCGGUGGUGUAGACGGCUCUCUGGACCGUAACUGACGCUGAGACACGAAAGCGUGGGUAGCAAACAGG